UGCAGUCGAGCGAACAGACGAAGUACUUGUACUUCUGACGUUAGCGGCGGACGGGUGAGUAACACGUAAGGAAUCUACCUAUAAGCGGGGGAUAACAUUCGGAAACGGAUGCUAAUACCGCAUAACAUUUACUUCCGCAUGGAAGUAAAUUGAAAGACGGCUCUGCUGUCACUUAUAGAUGACCUUGCGGUGCAUUAGUUAGUUGGUGGGGUAAUGGCCUACCAAGACGAUGAUGCAUAGCCGACCUGAGAGGGUGAUCGGCCACAUUGGGACUGAGACACGGCCCAAACUCCUACGGGAGGCAGCAGUAGGGAAUCUUCCGCAAUGGGCGAAAGCCUGACGGAGCAAUGCCGCGUGAGUGAAGAAGGCCUUCGGGUCGUAAAACUCUGUUAUAAGAGAAGAACAAAUUGUAGAGUAACUGCUACAGUCUUGACGGUAUCUUAUCAGAAAGCCACGGCUAACUACGUGCCAGCAGCCGCGGUAAUACGUAGGUGGCAAGCGUUGUCCGGAUUUAUUGGGCGUAAAGGGAGCGCAGGUGGUUUCUUAAGUCUGAUGUGAAAGCCCACGGCUCAACCGUGGAGGGUCAUUGGAAACUGGGGAACUUGAGUACAGAAGAGGAAUGUGGAACUCCAUGUGUAGCGGUGGAAUGCGUAGAUAUAUGGAAGAACACCAGUGGCGAAGGCGACAUUCUGGUCUGUUACUGACACUGAGGCUCGAAAGCGU
RNAcentral lists this ribosomal RNA (723 nucleotides) under Enterococcus sp. X20-CRBM-E14. RNAcentral describes it as "bacterial SSU rRNA". It matches the Rfam family "Bacterial small subunit ribosomal RNA", at positions 56 to 762 of the family's 1533-position model. The record is from RNAcentral. Lineage: Bacteria; Bacillati; Bacillota; Bacilli; Lactobacillales; Enterococcaceae.